Molecule: ribosomal RNA, 459 nt
Filed under: uncultured bacterium
Lineage: Bacteria
Description: partial 16S ribosomal RNA
Rfam family: Bacterial small subunit ribosomal RNA
Source: RNAcentral
CCUACGGGAGGCAGCAGUGAGGAAUAUUGGUCAAUGGCCGAGAGUCUGAACCAGCCAAGUCGCGUGAGGGAAGAAUGUCCUAUGGAUUGUAAACCUCUUUUGUCAGGGAGCAAAGUCACCCACGUGUGGGAGUUGGAGAGUACCUGAAGAAAAAGCAUCGGCUAACUCCGUGCCAGCAGCCGCGGUAAUACGGAGGAUGCGAGCGUUAUCCGGAUUUAUUGGGUUUAAAGGGUGCGUAGGCGGGUUAUCAAGUCAGCGGUAAAAUCGUGGGGCUCAACUCCAUCCAGCCGUUGAAACUGAUGAUCUUGAGUGGGCGAGAGGUAUGCGGAAUGCGUGGUGUAGCGGUGAAAUGCAUAGAUAUCACGAAGAACUCCGAUUGCGAAGGCAGCAUACCGGCGCCCGACUGACGCUGAGGCACGAAAGCGUGGGUAUCGAACAGGAUUAGAUACCCGUGUAGUC